UCGGGAAUUUUGGGCAAUGGGCGAAAGCCUGACGCAGCGACGCCGCGUGAGUGAUGAAGGCCUUCGGGUUGUAAAGCUCUGUGGGGAGAGAAGAAUAAGUGCGGGCUAAUACCCCGCAUGAUGACGGUAUCUCCUUAGCAAGCACCGGCUAACUCUGUGCCAGCAGCCGCGGUAAGACAGAGGGUGCAAACGUUGUUCGGAAUUACUGGGCGUAAAGCGAGUGUAGGCGGUUUGGUAAGUCGGAUGUGAAAGCCCCGGGCUCAACCCGGGAAGUGCAUUCGAUACUGCCAAGCUAGAGUAUCGGAGAGGUUGGUGGAAUUCUCGGUGUAGAGGUGAAAUUCGUAGAUAUCGAGAGGAACACCGGUGGCGAAGGCGGCCAACUGGACGAAUACUGACGCUGAGACUCGAAAGCGUGGGGAGCAAACAGGAUUAGAUACCCUAGUAGUCCCUGAGCGGGCUGGCAAGGCGCAU
This 471-nucleotide ribosomal RNA is filed under the name uncultured bacterium. RNAcentral describes it as "bacterial SSU rRNA". It matches the Rfam family "Bacterial small subunit ribosomal RNA", at positions 355 to 825 of the family's 1533-position model. The record is from RNAcentral.